GGUAGAGGAGUGUUUCAGCCUGUCUAGGAUGUGGGUGUCUGUCUCAGUUGACUUCGACUUGAUAAGGAUCCUUAGAGGGAUAAUGGAGUCCUAUUCCAAGAUGAGUCUCCCUUCUGAAUUAUCCACAGACCUGGUAACGUCUCGUUUCCGAGAAUUUUUGCCUGGUAAACGUUUUUUACUUGUUCUAGAUGAUGUCUGGAAUGACAAAUACGAGCUUUGGGAGCCACUUCUGCAACUCCUUAAAUUAGGGAAGAACGGAAGUAAAGUUUUAGUAACCAGUCGCAGUCAAAGGGUUGCGGAUGUUGUUGGCACUAGACCUGCCCACCUUUUAGGGUAUUUGCCUGAAGAUAAAUGCUGGGAGCUGUUUGAAAGAAUUGCAUUCAAGAAGGUUAAUCUUUCAGAUCGUCUGCUAAUAAAAGAGUUGGAGGACAAUGGCAAGGAAAUUGUUGCCAAGUGCAAAGGUUUGCCUUUGGCGGUAAAGGCAAUGGCGGGUAUGUUGCGUGGCAACACUGAUCCAGCCAAGUGGAGAAGAAUUUCGAAAAGCAAUAUGUGGGAGCUAGAAGAUCAAAAUAUUCUACCAGCCCUUAAAUUGAGUUAUAAUCACCUGCCAUCUCAUCUGAAGCAAUGUUUU
This 631-nucleotide unclassified non-coding RNA is filed under the name Hevea brasiliensis (rubber tree). The record is from RNAcentral. Lineage: Eukaryota; Viridiplantae; Streptophyta; Magnoliopsida; Malpighiales; Euphorbiaceae.